AAAAUUCUGUUGGUGGCUCGAUGCAGUCGUGUGGUAGCCAUUUUGGUUUAUAAUACAACAGUAUUCACUAUUCAACAAUAAUACAUGUCGACUAUUGAGUACGCUACUUUAAACGUCAACGUCGCAAUGGUUAAUAAUCAAGAUUGCUAACUUGUCUCUGUCGUUCUGACUCUUGGCGUUCGUGGAGAACUGGCUAGUCGCUUGUAGUCAUUAAUCAUUAUCGUUUUUCAACCUCAUCGGUUAUAGAAGUUAUAAAUACGAAAAUAUGUCCAAACACCGUGAAUGGGAUCCAACUUGUAAAGUAUAUAUUGGUAAUUUAAAAAGCAAUGCCAAUAAAUACGAAAUAGAAGAUUUGUUUACCAAAUAUGGUCCUUUGAAAAAUAUUUGGAUAGCAAGAAAUCCACCAGGCUUUGCAUUCAUAGAAUAUGAAGAUCCACGUGAUGCCGAAGAUGCAGUCCGAGGUUUAGAUGGAACAAGAUGUUGUGGAUCCAGAAUUAUUGUUCAAAUGUCAACUGGGAAACGCUCCAGAGAUAAAUCACCUGCUUAUAGGUUAUUUAUUAUAGAUUCAACUUUAUUGAAUUCUUCAUCAUCACCACUACCACAUCCACUACUACCAUCACCUUUCAACACAGUACUACCAACUUGAGCCAGCAACAAACAACAGGGGGUGUGCGAGAUUCUUGAAUCCCUACUAGGCAUUCUAUUUUCAUGAAUCAUUCAUCAUUUGGUUUUAGUUGUCAAAUCCCUCGAUUUUUAUUGCAGUACAAAACAACAACUUAGCAUUUGAAAUUCAUCUUCCUAGCUACUGCUGCAUGCUUUGAUUACAUUGUUUUUGCAUCGCUCAUCGUUCAUCAUUAUUCUGGUUAUAUUUUAGAGGGCGAUCUUCACCUCCGCGGCGUACUUAUCAUUCAUAUUCACGUUCACCAUCAAGGAGUCGUUCACCAGUUUAUAGAAGUAG
Melanaphis sacchari is the source of this 958-nucleotide RNA transcript. It is a transcript of the gene named RNA-binding protein 1-like, with no coding region annotated. The transcript is spliced from 5 exons. The record is from RefSeq and is a predicted model, not a curated record. Lineage: Eukaryota; Metazoa; Arthropoda; Insecta; Hemiptera; Aphididae.